UUAUUCGCUGAUGGUACUGCGAGUUCGCGGGAGAGUAAGUUAUUGCCAGGGUUUUUAUUUUAUACUUUAAACCUUGAAUUUAUUUUUUAAAUGUUUAUAUUAUUUGAAUAAAACAUUUAAAAAAUAUAAAAAAUAAUAUAUAUAUUGACAUGGAUUAAACAAAGAUAUAUAUUAUUCUAUGUUGUAUAAACAAAUUGGCAAAAUAGAGAUGGAAGAUAAAAAUAUGGUCAAAGUAAUAAGAGUCUAUGGUG
Molecule: unclassified non-coding RNA, 251 nt
Filed under: Borreliella afzelii
Lineage: Bacteria; Pseudomonadati; Spirochaetota; Spirochaetia; Spirochaetales; Borreliaceae
Description: 5S-23S ribosomal RNA intergenic spacer
Source: RNAcentral